RNAcentral lists this ribosomal RNA (484 nucleotides) under uncultured bacterium. Its description in RNAcentral is "partial 16S ribosomal RNA". It matches the Rfam family "Bacterial small subunit ribosomal RNA", at positions 29 to 507 of the family's 1533-position model. The record is from RNAcentral.
AUUGAACGCUGGCGGCAUGCUUUACACAUGCAAGUCGAACGGCAGCGCGGGCUUCGGCCUGGCGGCGAGUGGCGAACGGGUGAGUAAUACAUCGGAACGUGCCCAGUAGUGGGGGAUAGCUCGGCGAAAGCCGGAUUAAUACCGCAUACGACCUGAGGGUGAAAGCGGGGGAUCUUCGGACCUCGCGCUAUUGGAGCGGCCGAUGGCAGAUUAGCUAGUUGGUGGGGUAAAGGCCUACCAAGGCGACGAUCUGUAGCUGGUCUGAGAGGACGACCAGCCACACUGGGACUGAGACACGGCCCAGACUCCUCCGGGAGGCAGCAGUGGGGAAUUUUGGAGAAUGGGCGAAAGCCUGAUCCAGCAAUGCCGCGUGUGGGAUGAAGGCCUUCGGGUUGUAAAGCACUUUUGGCGGGAACGAAAAGGACUGUGCCAAUACCACGGUUCGAUGACGGUACCCGCAGAAUAAGCACCGGCUAACUACGUG